GGAUGAACGCUGGCGGUGUGCCUAAAGCAUGCAAGUCGAGCGAACAAUGAAGCUCUUCGGAGCUUCGGCGUUAGUGGCAGACGGGUGAGUAACACGUAGGAAUCUACCCAGUAGUGGGGAAUAGCCCUCCGAAAGGAGGGGUAAUACCGCAUACGCCCCUUGGGGGAAAGCAUUUAUGCGCUAUUGGAGGAGCCUGCGUCCUAUCAGCUAGUUGGUGAGGUAAUGGCUUACCAAGGCUAUGACGGGUAGCCGGUGUGAGAGCACGAUCGGCCACAAGGUUACUGAGACACGGAACCUACACCUACGGGUGGCAGCAACUAGGAAUCUUGCGCAAUGGGCGAAAGCCUGACGCAGCGACACCGCGUGUGGGAAGACGGCCUUCGGGUUGUAAACCACUGUGGCAGGGGAGCAAGCUCUGAGAGUACCCUGCUAGAAAGCACCUGCUAACUACGUGCCAGAAGCCUCGGUAAUACGUAGGGUGCGAGCGUUAUCCGGAGUUAUUGGGCGUAAAGCGUUACGUCGGCGGGUAAGUCAGUGAUAUGUCUAAGCCUGGGGCUCAACUCCAGACCGGCAUGUCAUACUGCUUAUCUUGAGGACACUAGAGGAAACUGGAACUCUCGGUGGAGGGGUGAAAUCCGUAGAUAUCGAGAGGAACGCCAAGGGUGAAGACCGGUUUCUGGGGUGUUCCUGACGCUCAUGUACGACAGCUUGGGUAGCAAAGCGGAUUAGAGACCCGUGUAGUCCAAGCCGUAAACGCUGGAUACUAGCUGUUCCUCCAUUUUGGGGGAGUGGCGUAAGCUAACGCGUUAAG
Molecule: ribosomal RNA, 811 nt
Filed under: uncultured organism
Description: bacterial SSU rRNA
Rfam family: Bacterial small subunit ribosomal RNA
Source: RNAcentral